This is a long non-coding RNA of Poecilia reticulata (guppy), 704 nucleotides long. RefSeq lists it as uncharacterized. The record is from RefSeq and is a predicted model, not a curated record. Lineage: Eukaryota; Metazoa; Chordata; Actinopteri; Cyprinodontiformes; Poeciliidae.
GGAGUAGUUCCUCACGGCGCAGUACAGGGACCCUGAAGGCAACACGCCGUCAACAUCUGCAGGACGUUCUGGACGGAGUCCGGUCCAGGUGACGAAGAGCGACUCACCUCCCAGGAAUCCUCCCUCCUCUUCCUCCUCUUCCUCACAGAGCUCCAGCUUCAUCAGUGGAGAGUUGCAGCUGCAGCCUGACCUGCCGGGUCUUUGAUUAGGACGUCCAGCUUGUCGUCGGCAGCCGCCUUGAAGGCCCGGUUCUUGGUGUCCCUGGUCUCGUACGGCGCCACGCAGCGGUACGUCUGCGUGACGAACGGGUGCGUCACGCUGCCCACUUCCUGGCUGCGCGCGCCACCCGCUGCGUCCUGCGCCUCGUCAGACGUCAGGAUCAUGACGCUGCAGCAGACCACGUGUUAGAAACGGAUCAAAGCGGCCCGCCGGAACCCGACCGGAACCAGAACUCACGUGUUCUUGGUGAAGUCCGUCUGCAGGUCGUGAUCUCUGGGCGUGAAGAACCGGGUGACCUCUGAACUCACGGUCACGGCCUGAUCGCAGCGCAGCAGCUCCUCGCAGUAAGUCUGCAGGAAGUUCAUCUGCCUGACAGACUUCCUGGAUCCGGUCUGCUGCAGGCCGCUGCGCCGGGCCUUCCCUGGACCGGAACCAGAACCAGAACAAAUGAAUAAAAUCAACCAAAGUUUCUCUGAAGGUGAAAA